GGACCUGUCUGUGUGGGGCUGGCCUGCCUGUGGCCCCCUCAGAGAGAAGUGGCGCUGGGAUGAGAUGGGGGCCGUGGUUGUCUGGGCGAGAGUCUCGAAGGACCUUACAAAGGCCCUUCCGGAUCAGCCUCCCAUCGAUGACUUGAAGUCCUGUCACAUGACCGCAGGAGGGUCUUCUGUCAUUUAGGGUCCAACCAAGAAACAGAAACACGUAGCCAUUUCAGACAGAGAGACUUAUACAGGGAGUUCAUUCCACAGGUCAGGGGAGAGCUGAGAGCCGAAGAGGGGAUGAUGAGUCAGCCCAGAGAUGAGCUGGUGCCCUGGGGAUGGAGGGAGCUGGUGCUGUGGGGAUGGAGGGAGCAAUCAAGGGGAUGCCCUUGAUUGCAGUUGGGUGCUCUGCCCUGGGGUGGUGGGGUCGGCAGAGCCUGGGAGCCCGGGCUGCCUGGUGCCAGGUGGAGGCUGCUGGGUGGGAGCUGGACCACGGCGGGGAUGCAGCUGCUGCCGGCCAUCUCGCUUGAGGAGGAAGAUGCCAGCUUCUGUCUCUAUCCCCCUCUUCCGUCUCCCCAGACCCUGCCUUGCCUGACCGGAACCGCGCUGACAACCCACUGGCAAGGGAGUCUGGGACAUGCAGCCCACAGACACCGGCCCCCUGCCACACAGGAAGGAAGGUGUUGGAGGCGAGAGGCCUGGGACUGGCCCUGUGAUGACUUGUCCUUAAAUGCUUCGGGUGUUGGGGAGCUCACUCUCAAGCUCUGGAAGGAGCAGCAAUAGUCCACUUCGUUGCCAGCUGAGUAUGAACGUUGGCUCAGAAUAAGGAAGAAAGUUCCCUGUGACUCCCCCGCUAAACCAAGGGAUCCGUCUUCAGAGCAUCAGCCCUUUGUGUAGUAGGACAGUUGGCUGCCCCAAGCCUCGGCUUUGCUCACGCUCUCGUAUCUGCCAGGAAAGCCCUUCCCACCCUCCACUGCUUGGCUAAUUACCCAUCUGAUGAGAUGGAGCUCUUCCAGGAAACUUCUGGCACACCCUGUGCCCUUCUAUGGCACCUCAGACUUUGUUCUCUGUUCUGCACUAACCACGUCGCGGUAAACGUGGAUUUCUGCGUUUGGCCCCCCUGAUUCACGGGGGGCACAGAGACUGAUGGCCUUGGGUGGCAUCACAUCCCAGAGACGCUCCAGUGUGCCGAGCCUACCAGAGCUUUGUGGACGCGCUCUAACUUAAUCCUCCGCAGGAUUAAUCCUGAAAGUAGCUAUGAUUAGUCCGCAGUUUUCAGCUGGAGGAUCUGCGCAGAGCUGGGAUUUGAACCCAGCUUCUUCUGGCUGGGAAGGCCACGUUCCUUCGCCGUGGGCCACGUGGUCUUGUCACAGCACGGCUGGCCCGGGGGUGCGACUGCCUCACUGAGACGUUUUCGGUUCAGCUUCUGGUGCCUCGCCCCCCACCCCCUGUCCCAGCCCCUACGUCAGCCCCUCGCAGACGAGGAUGCCGUUCCCAUGGCCACUUCUCCAUUCUGAAAUGACCAAGCGGCCUGGCUGGGCCGGCGGCUCUAACCACAGAUUGACAGAUGUUUCCAUGUGUGGAAGUGGGGUUUGAGUCUUGAGGCGCUGUUUUCGCGGUUCCCUUUUCGGCUCUUGUCCUUGGGCGACGUGACCCAUCACGGUUUCGUGGCCCUGAUGUGUUUCCCAUGUGUACUGUUCACAAUCUUUAGACUGUUCUUAACAGUCCUUUUUGUGAGCAUAGCACGUUCCAGUUUGCAGAGCCUGUUUAUACACAUUAGCUCAUUGGAUCUUCCCAGCAAACCAGGAGGGGGCUUAUUUGACAGAUGAGGGUUCAGAGAGUCUAAGAAAUGACAGCAGCAACGGUUUGCAGCCCUUGGCUGAACUCUUAGCACGUGUCCCUGAAGCACCGUGCUAAACCACGCGAUGCAGCCGUGGGAGGUGGGUAGCGUUAUUAUUCCUAUUCUAGAAGUAGGGAACUUGACGCUCCAAGAGGAUAGUUGACUUGCCCAAGGUCACAGAGCAGCAAAUCCAGACCCAUCUCUUAAUUCCUGGUCCAGUGUUCUAGCCAACUCUUUUUUUUUUUUUUAAAGAUUUUAUUUAUUUAUUUGAAAGAGAGAGAAUGAGAGAGAGCACAUGAGAGGGGGGAGGGUCAGAGGGAGAAGCAGACCGCCCGCUGAGCAGGGAGCCCGAUGCGGGACUCGAUCCCGGGACUCCAGGAUCAUGACCUGAGCCGAAGGCAGUCGCCUAACCAACUGAGCCACCCAGGCGCCCCUUCUAGCCAACUCUCGAGAACAGCUGCCAAACUGAGCAAAAAUGCCUUGUUAUAUCUCAACAAAUCUAUGACAUCACUGCAUACAGACACACCACUAUUUUAUAUGCCAUAGGAAAUAAAAAUGCUGUCAAUUAGGCUAAGACAAUACUUUCUUAUCACUUAGACUUUUUUUAUUUCACACUUAAUAAAAAAGCUCCUCUAGAUUUAGGUGCAUAAUGUACACAUAUCACUCUUGUACAUACAUAAAAGGAACAUUUAUAUGAAAAUAAAAUGAUAUGAAAUUUACACGAAAAUGUACUUCGUCACAUUGAAAAUCUGACUCUGAGUCAGAGUGACCAAUGCCUGUGCUUUUUUUUUUUUUUUAAGAUUUUAUUUAUUUAUUUGACGGAGAGAGACACAGUGGGAGAGGGAACACAAGCAGGGGGAGUGGGAGAGGGAGAAGCCGGCUUCCCGCUGAGCAGGGAGCCCGAUGCGGGGCUCGAUCCCAGGACCCUGGGAUCAUGACCUGAGCCGAAGGCAGACGCUUAACCGACUGAGCCACCCAGGCGCCCCUACCUGUGCCUUUUUAAACAAUAUUGUCCUCUGUGUCAGCAAGUGUUGGUGAUCUCUCUCUCUCUCUUUCCGUUUUUAAAUGCAUUUUAUUCAGCAAAAGCUUACAUAUAAUAAAGUGCACAAAUCAUAAGUACAUCUGAUGAGUUUUUAUCCAUGUAAAUAUACAUCUGUGAUCAUUGGUGAGCUGAUUGUUAAAUAUUUAGGAAUUUUGCAAACCAGCUUUUAAACUGUUUAUUGUUCAAAAUCAGCCAUCGUGGGAAUAUUUACACCAUGGAAACUGGCAAAUGCUACAGUUCUGGGCUUUUUUUCUCUCUCAGGGACCAGUUUACCAGCACAGUAUUGAACUACCACUGGGUUUAGGAAAGAGAUUUCCAGCACCCCCUAGAAGGCAAACUCUAUGCUCUCCCUAAUCCCUCUGCCACAAGCUAACCAUUCUGAAGCAGCUUUUCUUCCAAGAAUCCGUAGGUGGACUGGUGGCCCCUCCACGGGCUCUGCAUUGUGCAGUGCUCCCCACUUUUCACUCCCACAGGAAGAAUGCUGCUAAACACGUCUGCUUGCCCACCUCCCCUGCCCUGUACCCACAGCCGUCUGGUUCCUAGAGGCAAAGAAUACUCCUGUACUGUCUCCAGGAUUUUUUUUUCCCAAGCCACAGAAACCCAUACUAGAGAGAUGCUUGGCUUGAGAACUCCAUCCAGAGGGCCCCUGGCCAACAGCUCUGCAGCUCGUCUUGGCGAUCGAGCCUAUAAAGAUGUGCCUGCGUUCCCUGGAGGCCAGCGAUCUCAUGGGGCACCCCACCCCUGGGCGAGCGGGGUCUGCCUGCUUCUCUGGGGUCAGCCCUGAGCUGGAAAGAGAACCCGAACCCUGCAGGAAAUCUCGGCGUUGCCACCAGCCUGCUUCUGGACGUCUCUGGGGAUUGCUCAAAGUGUACCCUUAUGGGGUGGCACCUCGGACACACCUCUGUGAUGACUGUUUCAGGAUCAGCGUGGUCUUCUCCACCCAGCCGUGACCUUCUGCGACUGGCUUUUAAUCACCCCUGGGCUCCCUCAGAGCCCAGCACGCCCCUGACGUGGGGCAAGUGUCCGGGAUAUAUUUGGAUGAGUGAGCAGAUGACAGAGCAGGGAUGGAGAGACUUCAUCCUGAAGGCCCGUCUCACUGCCCUGGAGAAAGUCACUUCUCUAUCACAUCCACAGGGGCACUUGAGAUGACCACGCAAAAUGGCUUUGCAGGAGCUCUGCGGGCUUGAGAACAUGACUCAUGUGACCCCUUCAGAGAAGUCAGGACUCACGUGCUAUUUGAGUCCUUGCUCUGGGGCCGGACACAGAGCACUUUGCAUGAAUCCCUUCAGUGCUUCUCAAAGUAUGGGCCACAGACAAGCAGUGUCAGCAUCCCUCUGGAACUUGCCGGAAAUGCAAAAUCUUGGGCUCCUGCUGAAUCUGAAACCCUGGGGAUGUGGCUAGUAGUUUGUCUUUGACAAGUGCUCCAGAAGGUUCUGCUGAAAGCUAACAUUUGCAAAUCACGGCAUGAGCUCACGAGUCUGCCCACCAGUCCUGUGAGCCCCUAUUACUCUCUGAAACCAGGUGACAGAUUCGCUCGCGGCGUCCCUCCGGUCCGAGGGCCUGGGACCCCGGUGCCUCCACAGCUGGUUCUCGGGCACCCAGCACGCCCGAAGGUGCUGAACCAACACCCAGCGAAUGAGUAAAAGAGCAGGCCGAUGUUCUGUCACUUAAAGUGGACAGAAGGGAAGAAUUGGGGUUUUCUGCGGAGAUUCUAAAGCGAAGGCCAUUUCUGGGGGUCAUGGGGGUGGGAGAAACCAGGUCAAGGCAGGCUGUCUUCCAGGUGCUGAAAAUCCCCUCGGCCCGGGCCAGCCCCUCACUGGCCGGGCUUCUUGUUGGGUCUGGCGCAGACCUCAAGGAAACAUAACAUUUUUAAUAAAACC
This is a long non-coding RNA of Mirounga angustirostris (Northern elephant seal), 4750 nucleotides long. RefSeq lists it as uncharacterized. The record is from RefSeq and is a predicted model, not a curated record. The transcript has 3 exons. NCBI's taxonomy places the organism in Eukaryota, Metazoa, Chordata, Mammalia, Carnivora, Phocidae.